Molecule: ribosomal RNA, 492 nt
Filed under: uncultured bacterium
Lineage: Bacteria
Description: partial 16S ribosomal RNA
Rfam family: Bacterial small subunit ribosomal RNA
Source: RNAcentral
AGUGAACGCUGGCGAUAGGCCUAACACAUGCAAGUCGAACGGCAGCACAGUAAGAGCUUGCUCUUACGGGUGGCGAGUGGCGGACGGGUGAGGAAUACAUCGGAAUCUACUUUUUCGUGGGGGAUAACGUAGGAAAACUUACGCUAAUACCGCAUACGACCUACGGGUGAAAGCAGGGGAUCUUCGGACCUUGCGCGAUUGAAUGAGCCGAUGUCGGAUUAGCUAGUUGGCGGGGUAAAGGCCCACCAAGGCGACGAUCCGUAGCUGGUCUGAGAGGAUGAUCAGCCACACUGGAACUGAGACACGGUCCAGACUCCUACGGGAGGCAGCAGUGGGGAAUAUUGGACAAUGGGCGCAAGCCUGAUCCAGCCAUACCGCGUGGGUGAAGAAGGCCUUCGGGUUGUAAAGCCCUUUUGUUGGGAAAGAAAAGCAGCAGGUUAAUACCCCGCUGUUCUGACGGUACCCAAAGAAUAAGCACCGGCUAACUUCGUG